UGGGGAAUAUUGCACAAUGGGCGAAAGCCUGAUGCAGCAACGCCGCGUGAGGGACGACGGCCUUCGGGUUGUAAACCUCUUUUAGCAAGGAAGAAGCGAAAGUGACGGUACUUGCAGAAAAAGCGCCGGCUAACUACGUGCCAGCAGCCGCGGUAAUACGUAGGGCGCAAGCGUUAUCCGGAAUUAUUGGGCGUAAAGAGCUCGUAGGCGGUUUGUCGCGUCUGCUGUGAAAACCCGAGGCUCAACCUCGGGCCUGCAGUGGGUACGGGCAGACUAGAGUGCGGUAGGGGAGAUUGGAACUCCUGGUGUAGCGGUGGAAUGCGCAGAUAUCAGGAAGAACACCGAUGGCGAAGGCAGAUCUCUGGGCCGUAACUGACGCUGAGGAGCGAAAGGGUGGGGAGCAAACAGGCUUAGAUACCCUGGUAGUCCACCCCGUAAACGUUGGGAACUAGUUGUGGGGUCCAUUCCACGGAUUCCGUGACGCAGCUAACGCAUUAAGUUCCCCGCCUGGGGGAGUACGGCCGCAAGGCUAAACUCAAAGGAAUUGACGGGGUCAUAGCUGUUUCCU
This 568-nucleotide ribosomal RNA is filed under the name uncultured bacterium. RNAcentral describes it as "partial 16S ribosomal RNA". It matches the Rfam family "Bacterial small subunit ribosomal RNA", at positions 355 to 1375 of the family's 1533-position model. The record is from RNAcentral.